Delphinapterus leucas (beluga whale) is the source of this 2353-nucleotide non-coding RNA. The record is from RefSeq and is a predicted model, not a curated record. NCBI's taxonomy places the organism in Eukaryota, Metazoa, Chordata, Mammalia, Artiodactyla, Monodontidae.
CCUCAGGAAUCUGAAAAAGCAGGCAGACUGGAUAGAACCUAGGCCCGCUGGCUCUGCUGUGACGCAGUGGCUUCUCUCACUCGGGGACAAGCAGCUGCACUCACCAGGGCCGGGCACAGCCCUCCCCCAGCCCCACGCGUGGCCAUACCUCUAUCUUAUAAAAGAGCUCGGCAUCCAGCAGUGUCAGCUGCUCAGCUAUCUCAUGGCUGUGAAAGUCAUGCAAGGUCCCGGGCCUGGAAGACAGAGGCACGAGAUGAGUGCACGGAGGCCACGCAGCGGGUUGGGGGCGGGUCAGGACCGGACUGCACUCGUCUCCCUGGGACCACGGGGCCUACCUUCCCCCCUGCCUCCGCCUGGCUGGCUCGGUGGCUCCACUCGCGGGCCCGCGAGCUCAGCUGCCUGAGAACGCACAGCCCGACCCCCCUUCAGGGCCCAUUGGGAACAAAGAUGGUGCCAUGUGAAUGGAGCUGAGACACCAACAAAGAGGUGAUAAAUCAACAAACCUCCAUGGCCUCGGGAGAGGGCCAGUGGAACCUCUACAUAGGUGGAGCCUAUACACAGGUUCUCAGGAACGGUCAGGAUGGCACAGGGGGUGACAAGAAUUAAGUUGCCACGUUAGCGCCGGGAAGAGAAUUAAGUGCUGACCACAGCCUGAAAGGCAUUCCUGUCCCCUGUCCUGGUAAGCCCCUACACGCCCUGCUGCCCCACUUCCUACUAAAACGGUGAUCAGUCAUACAACGUAACCCUGGAGAAGAGGCCCAGCCCCAGGGGAACCACUGGGCUGUCCCUGAGGCACGUCGUCGCAGGGCCCGGGCAGAACCGGGAGGUGAGGUUGUGAGGCCGGGGGCGGGGAGGGGGGCACUGAAGGACAUAGAAUGGAGAGACGGCUGCCGGUAUGGCUCUCGCCAGAGGCAGGGCCCGGAGAAGCCCAGGAUGGACGGCGGGUGGCGCACCUGGCUGCUACGCCCCUGGCCGCCAGGGGCUGGUCGGAGUUGGCACACCUGAGCAGCUUCUUCUGGUCCACCUUGUCCAGGAUGUUCUUCCGGAGCACACGGGCCAGACUGAGCUCCCCGUUGCACACCAGGCGAAAGACCAGCUCCAUCAGCAGCUUCAAGAUCUCUUCCGUCAACUCCACUAGGCUAAAGGGCCAAGGGCCAUGCGCAAAUGGUCACUGGCACUGGAUAAGCACCAGGGACCGUGCUGCGGCCUGGGCUAUGGAGACGAAGCCUGCCCCAGGGGAGCUCCUGAUCCCACGGGGGUGAUGAAUCACGACGAGGUCUGGGCUCCACAGACAGCCCCCAGGACGCCCCUGCACAGUAUUCUCCACACGCAGUGUUUCACAGCCCCACCCCGUAAUCACUAAGGCCACCCCCCAGCAGAAGGUAAACACCUUGAGGGCGGGGCCUGGGUGGCUUCCUUACCAAGGGCUCUCUAGACCUAGGAAAGGGACCUUGUGCUUUAUGUUUGUUCAAUGACUGGAAAGGGCAAAUGCCACUCAGGGGACCGUGGAAAGAUGAGGAGGGCAGCCAAGGUCUAAGCCACGUGCCAGAGGGAUGGCCCCCACAAGGAAAUCAGGGCCGGGCCAGGGAGGGUCUGAGGGGACAAGCCAUUCUCCCCAGGGGUCGUGUUAAAGCGCGCAGGAGUGAGCCCUGUCCAGGGCCUUGGGCAGGGCUCUGUGGGCACAGAGCCCAGGAGAUGCAGGUGAAAUGUGACGGGAGGCCCAGAUCUCUGCGGGGAAGCCUGUACCCCGGCGGGGACCCCAAGAUGCCCGCGGCCUGCUGGGCCCCUCCGCCCUCCAUCCCCCGGGGCGGAAGGACUCACCAGAGCUCGUCCACCACCCGUACCAGCACGAAGAACGUGUUCUUGCUGACGCGCUUCUUGAAUGUGUCGGCAAAAGGAGAGAACUUCUCGUACGUGGGCGCAGGUUAAAGAAACAACCACCCUCACGGGUAGGGACGGGGAAGUGCGCGGGAGGGCCGCCCUCCCCCAGCCCCCCUUCCCUGAGCGAACCCUGGGAACGAGGGCACGGGGAGGGCAGGGGACCUGUGCGGGGUGGCGGAACUGCAAAGUGAGGUUCAGCCCAGACCUCUCUGACCCCGUUCUCGACCACCAACCUCUCCUGCCUGCAGAACCUCCUCCCUGCGCUCCCAGGCCUGCCUCUCUGCUGGGAUCAACCCAAGGUUCCUGUGACCGCUGAAACGCUGAAGGCUGCAUCGCUGAGCUCAGGCAGAGAAAGCUUCAGAGGCUGCCUGCGCACCUGCCCUUCAAACACCUGGCUACUUCCUCCCUGAGGCCGUGGCUGCCCUCGUGUUCAUCAAGUCUCCAGACACUUCUAUGGCUCCAUAGCGCCUGC